UGCGUAGGCGGGCUGCCAAGUUUGAGGUGAAAUCCUCCGGCUCAACCGGGGAAGUGCCUUGAAUACUGGCGGUCUGGAGGGAGGUAGGGGCGUGCGGAACUAACGGUGGAGCGGUGAAAUGCGUUGAUAUCGUUAGGAACUCCGGUGGCGAAGGCGGCACGCUGGACCUCUUCUGACGCUGAGGCACGAAAGCCAGGGGAGCAACG
Molecule: ribosomal RNA, 206 nt
Filed under: uncultured bacterium
Lineage: Bacteria
Description: partial 16S ribosomal RNA
Rfam family: Bacterial small subunit ribosomal RNA
Source: RNAcentral